This 2455-nucleotide long non-coding RNA is filed under the name Malus domestica (apple). RNAcentral's name for it is "long non-coding RNA (MDOM_LNC018667)". The record is from RNAcentral. Lineage: Eukaryota; Viridiplantae; Streptophyta; Magnoliopsida; Rosales; Rosaceae.
CUACUCACAUGUCAAGCAAGUAACUCUAAUGGUUGGAAUAAUGUAAGUAGUCCUUAGACCUGAGGCAUCGUCGUUGUCUUGUGGCUAAGUACUUAAUCUUUGAUUAUGUCAAAGUCUCCCCAUUCGAGGGUGUCCACGGCAUGAUUGGGGGUUAAGCCACUUAGUCAUGAAGGCAAGUGUAUGCACAACAAGGAAUCUCUAAUCCUCGGUAAGAGAGGAAGAAUGCUCUAAGAUAUGAUUCGAGAAUCUUCGGCCGAAGUAUUGAGCGUAUUAAAAGGAAUGCGUUCCUAUACGACUCAAAUGAAUCAUAUAAGAAGGAAUAAUCACAUUAGGGGUUUGACAUAAUAUAUCCAUACCCUAAUGAUGUGAUUGAGAGUAUUGUAUUAGAGAAGGAUCGAAUUACAUUGUAAUUCUAACUGAAUAGGUUCUCUGAAUAAACUUCUACAUUAGCUUGGGUAGCUAUGACAUAUGGUUAGAUGUCACUCAUUGCUUGUGAGUUCUUCUAGAUGAUUAAAUGUAGUCAUCAAAGAAGAAUGGUGAAUUGAAAUGAAGUUUCAAUUCACUAAGUGAUUGAAUUAAUUGGAUUAGUGCCAAUUACCUCACUGCCUUGCUAAUUAGAACCUAAAAGAUUGUUCACCAAUACACUAUUGUAGUGAGUAAUUAAUGGAUGAUGGAAACAAUUAAUUGGAUUAAUUAUGUGUUGUGAUUAAUUUAGAAAAGUCUAAAGAAAUCAUAAAAGCGAUAAAGAUUGUUUUGGGCUUAAAGAAACGUUCGGGUUUAAUUGGGCCCAUUGGGCCUAAACCCAUUGGGCUUUCAUUCAAGCAUUGGAUGACUUGAAAUAAUAAAAGCCCAAAGCCCAAACAACACUACAAGGGCCGGCCACUUUAGGUGUUUAGGAGAGAAGAAUAGUCAAGUUGUUGACUAGGUUUCUUUUGUCUAUAAAAGGAACUUUAUAGCAAAUGUUUCUAGAGGGUUUUUGUGUGUUUAGAACUACAAAGAGGCUAAAGAAAAACUCUCUCAAAUAUUCACAAGGGCCGGCCACCUUAAGGGAAAAAUAGCUAACAAUCUUUCACCCUUUUGGUUAUUCCUUCAUCCUUCUCAUUACACUAGUGGGUGAGGAUCUUUAGAGGUUUCCUACUUUGGAAACUUGAAGAGAACCUAGGAGCACUCAUUCUUUCAAAGUGGAGGAGGCAAGGAGGGAAGCUAGGCUCAAGGAUUUCAAGGAGCAAAGAGCUUGGAGGUGGUCCAUCCUUGGUCUAAAAUCAAGAUCAAGAGGUAUAGAUCUAUUCCUUGACUUUGUUCUUGAUUCUUUAAAAUGUUAUGAUGCAUUAUAUAUAAACCUAUGAACCUUGAAGGGGAUUUGCAUGACUAUAGCUUUGAUUUUAUUUGAUAACAUGCUUCCGUUGCUCAUGUAUAUAAAUUUUGAAUUGUAUAUGCAUGCUAGUCAUCUAGAAAUCCCACAUGAAACUCAUAAAUUUCCCUUCAAUUGGUAUCAGAGCCAAAGGUUUAUGUAUAAUGUGUCCUUUUGGAUUUUAUGCAUAUGGGUAUUAAUGUUAUGUAUGACAUAUUACUUUUCCAUUCAAAGUAUGUUUAUCUUUUGUUUUUCAAUAGUUGAAAAAUGUUAGUCAAAAGUUGAGAAAGAUAUGUAUGCAAAAUGUUUUGUAUGCAUGAAUGAAAAAUGAGUUUAGAACUAGUAUGACAUAUUAUUUCUUCAUUUAAAAGUAUGUUUAUCUUUUGUUUUUCAAUGGUUGAAAAAUAUAAAUCAAGAGUUGAAAAAGAUAUGCAUGUAAAAGUUGUUUUGUAUGCAUGAAUGAAGAAUAAGUCAUGAACAAAAUUUGGGGUUUUGUUACUUGGGGUUGGCAUGGUUUUGGCUUAGUGUUUGUGUUUUUAUUUUGAAUCACACACACACUUUAAAGCUAGAAAGUAGAAAUCUUGUCACUUUUGUUUUUGGGUUUGAAAAAUCACCAAGAACAUAUAAAUCUUGAAAAUGUGUUCAUGGUUUUGUUCUUGGUGUUCAUGGUUUGGAUUUGAUGAAAAUGGUUUUCAUGCAUUGUUUUGUGGUUUUGGAUGAUGUACAUACCAUCCAUAGCCAUCUCAAAAAUAUAUUAAAUCCUAAUCUUUAUUAGGUGAAUUUCCAUCAUUUUGUUUCAUUAAAGUCCUUAAAGCAUAGACAAGUGACAAAUAAAAUUUGUUAUUCCUACUUUGAAAUGAUUUAAAGCAAGAUAAGUGAGACCUUCCAUCCCCACAAUAUAUGGCCGGCCUACCCUAUCAAAAUACCCACUUGUGGGGUAUUUUGUAAUUUAGAAAAAGACAUUUUAUACUGUUGAGUAUUUAUGGUUUGACCCCUAACUUUUUCUUAUUUGCAAUUAGGCCCCUACUAACUAGAAAGUUAAAAUAUUUGAUUUUAAUUUUGUUAGUUGUUUAAACUCAUAUUUAUAUUAUGCCCAUAUGCACU